GCUACGGGAGGCAGCAGUGGGGAAUAUUGCACAAUGGGGGAAACCCUGAUGCAGCGACGCCGCGUGAGUGAAGAAGUAUUUCGGUAUGUAAAGCUCUAUCAGCAGGGAAGAAGCAAGACGGUACCGGACCAAGAAGCCCCGGCCAACUACGUGCCAGCAGCCGCGGUAAUACGUAGGGGGCAAGCGUGCGCCGGAUUUACUGGGUGUAAAGGGAGCGGAGACGGUCUGGCAAGUCUGACGUGAAAGCCCAGGGCUUAACCCUGGGACUGCUUUGGAAACUGUUAGACUAGAGUGCUGGGGAGGUAAGUGGAAUUCCUAGUGUAGCGGUGAAAUGCGUAGAUAUUAGGAGGAACCCCAGUGGCGACGGCGGCUUACUGGACCGUACCUGACGUUGCGGCUCGAACGCGUGGGGAGCAAACAGGAUUAGAUACCCUUGUAGUC
Molecule: ribosomal RNA, 441 nt
Filed under: uncultured bacterium
Lineage: Bacteria
Description: partial 16S ribosomal RNA
Rfam family: Bacterial small subunit ribosomal RNA
Source: RNAcentral